RNAcentral lists this long non-coding RNA (1051 nucleotides) under Citrus sinensis (sweet orange). RNAcentral's name for it is "long non-coding RNA (CSIN_LNC002984)". Lineage: Eukaryota; Viridiplantae; Streptophyta; Magnoliopsida; Sapindales; Rutaceae. The record is from RNAcentral.
UCUUAUCUUUCAAAGCAGUAAAAUAAUUUACCAACAAAAAAAUGUUAUUGUAACUUGUAAGAAACUCGAUCUCCUAAUUAUAGUUCAAUAGACAGCGUUCCGAAAUUAAACACUCAGAAUUUGAGAGAAAAAUGGUACAUACAGCCAAUAAUAGACGGGAAAAAGAAAAGGCAAACCGAUGAGCAAGGCCACUAAUCACCGUUGGAAAAGAUCAAAGUCAAAACUUCCGAAAUUAAAGCCAAAUUGGCUAAUUACGUUAACAUCCAAAAGAAAAUCUAUAAAGCCCUUAAAUCAGAAUUUUUUUCAAAAAAUCAUUGCCGAAUUUUAAGGAACAUUUACAGGGAAUUGAACCAUGGCCGUCUCCAAGUCCCACUCAUCAUGGCUAAUCAUUUUGGCAAUCCUUUCUUUGUUGGUUUUAAACCACGCGGAAGCAUCAGAAUCUGAACCACCAAUUUCACCAUCUGAUGACAACAACAACAACAUCAACAUCAAGAAUGAAAACAAGUUGUCUGUUGGUGGCUUAAUUAACGGCGGCAAGAAUUUGAUUCACAAAAUGAUGUGGGUCGACGAUCACCAAUUGAUGCCCGAAAAUUACCCAACGACGUCUGAAUAUUACCCAAUGAAGCCCGAUUUGGCCAGAGGGAGGCCCGAUGGUGCCAGGGUGAGACCAGUGUUUAACAGGAUGGAACCAGAGUUCCUGCAAUGAAGAAAGUUGCCGUGAAGAGAGGUGGAUGGAGCUAUAUAUGUGAUAAAUGGAGGCGCCACACGCCUACGGCUUAGCAAGGUAAUUUGAUCAACAACAAAUAAGGCUCCCUAGGAAUCAAUGUAACAGUAAAUUUAAUUUUUAUUGACACUAAGUAAUCUCAUUACUAUUAAGCCCAAAAUGGAUUGUGUUGAUGCUUCUUAGGCCCCGUUUGGGAUUGCUUUUGGGAGGGUUAAAAGUGAUUUUAAAAAUCUAAAAGCUAAUUUUGGUGUUUGGUAAAAAAAAAUCAAAAUCACUUUUGCCAGAAUCAGCUUCUCCUACAGCUGAUUUUGAAAAGCAGGGAAGGAG